AUUGAACGCUGGCGGCAUGCCUUACACAUGCAAGUCGAACGGCAGCACGGGAGCAAUCCUGGUGGCGAGUGGCGAACGGGUGAGUAAUAUAUCGGAACGUACCCAGUAGUGGGGAUAGCCCGGCGAAAGCCGGAUUAAUACCGCAUGAGACCUGAGGGUGAAAGCGGGGGAUCGCAAGACCUCGCGCUAUUGGAGCGGCCGAUAUCAGAUUAGCUAGUUGGUGGGGUAAAGGCCUACCAAGGCAACGAUCUGUAGUUGGUCUGAGAGGACGACCAGCCACACUGGGACUGAGACACGGCCCAGACUCCUACGGGAGGCAGCAGUUGGGAAUCUUGGACAAUGGGGGAAACCCUGAUCCAGCCAUGCCGCGUGAGUGAUGAAGGCCUUCGGGUUGUAAAACUCUUUCGUACGGGGACGGAUAAUGACGGUACCCGUACGAAGAAGACUCCGGCGUAACUUCGUGUCCAGCAGCCGCGGUAA
Molecule: ribosomal RNA, 480 nt
Filed under: uncultured bacterium
Lineage: Bacteria
Description: bacterial SSU rRNA
Rfam family: Bacterial small subunit ribosomal RNA
Source: RNAcentral